RNAcentral lists this ribosomal RNA (487 nucleotides) under uncultured bacterium. RNAcentral describes it as "bacterial SSU rRNA". It matches the Rfam family "Bacterial small subunit ribosomal RNA", at positions 29 to 507 of the family's 1533-position model. The record is from RNAcentral.
AUUAAACGCUGGCGGCAUGCCUUACACAUGCAAGUCGAACGGCAGGCACGGGGGGCAACCUUGGUGGCGAGUGGCGAACGGGUGAGUAAAGCAUCGGAACGUGCCCGUGGAGUGGGGGAUAACGUAGCGAAAGUUACGCUAAUACCGCAUAUUCUGUGAGCAGGAAAGCAGGGGAUCGCAAGACCUUGCGCUCUGGGAGCGGCCGAUGUCGGAUUAGCUAGUUGGUGGGGUAAAGGCCUACCAAGGCGACGAUCCGUAGCGGGUCUGAGAGGAUGAUCCGCCACACUGGGACUGAGACACGGCCCAGACUCCUACGGGAGGCAGCAGUGGGGAAUUUUGGACAAUGGGCGAAAGCCUGAUCCAGCCAUGCCGCGUGAGUGAAGAAGGCCUUCGGGUUGUAAAGCUCUUUCGGUGGGGAAGAAAUUGCAUAGGCUAAUACCCUGUGUAGAUGACGGUACCUGGAGAAGAAGCACCGGCUAACUACGUG